RNAcentral lists this ribosomal RNA (332 nucleotides) under uncultured Pseudomonadota bacterium. RNAcentral's name for it is "bacterial SSU rRNA". It matches the Rfam family "Bacterial small subunit ribosomal RNA", at positions 568 to 898 of the family's 1533-position model. The record is from RNAcentral. Lineage: Bacteria; Pseudomonadati; Pseudomonadota.
CACGUAGGCGGUUGGGUAAGUCGGAUGUGAAAGCCCUGGGCUUAACCUGGGAACUGCAUUCGAUACUGCCCGGCUAGAGUAUGGGAGAGGGAAGCGGAAUUUCCGGUGUAGCGGUGAAAUGCGUAGAUAUCGGAAGGAACACCAAUGGCGAAGGCAGCUUCCUGGCCCAAUACUGACGCUCAGGUGCGAAAGCGUGGGGAUCAAACAGGAUUAGAUACCCUGGUAGUCCACGCUGUAAACGAUGAGAACUAGAUGUUGGGAGGGUUUUGCCUCUCAGUGUCGCAGCUAACGCGCUAAGUUCUCCGCCUGGGGAGUACGGCCGCAAGGUUGAA